UAAUUUUAUUGACCAAGUGCAGGACACAUC
Molecule: non-coding RNA, 30 nt
Filed under: Homo sapiens (human)
Lineage: Eukaryota; Metazoa; Chordata; Mammalia; Primates; Hominidae
Source: RNAcentral